This is a non-coding RNA of Bemisia tabaci, 1939 nucleotides long. Lineage: Eukaryota; Metazoa; Arthropoda; Insecta; Hemiptera; Aleyrodidae. The record is from RefSeq and is a predicted model, not a curated record.
ACGAAAAUUGCGCAGUAAGGAGUCUAUUUCAGACUUUUUUAAUGUGAGCAUCGUAAUUUUCGUGUCAUUUAACCACUAAAAAGUCUAUUCGCACGGCUGUAUCUCUUGCGUGCAACAGGCCCAUUGAACAAGAAAAAUAGAAGGCGGGAGAAUAAGGAUUGUUGUUUGGACCAACCUAAGUUGAGAUCUAGCCCCAACUAAUUAGAAAUGAUCAUUUCAUCUGUGGUUGGGCCCCUAAAGUUAAGGUCCAGCCACACAGUUAGCGACGGCUGACAACACAUUGCUUUUUUCCUGAACGAUUUUUUCUGGCUAUUUUAUCAAAGCAUCCAUCAGCCAAAUCUUUCUCAAAUGGGCCAAACAAGUUAGUAUCUUCUUGCGUGAUCCGUUCCAAUUGCAGGUAUGGUCAAACUGACUUUCUGUGAAUUGCCCAAUUUGAUUGAAUAAUAGGUAUGAGAAUUAUGGACUUAUUAACCUGAUAGACUGGAUUAAUCGCCCCAAAUCACAGUAACUGUUUCUCACAAUGCCUAAUUUCCUUGCAGUGCCUCAAAACAUUUUUACAAGUGAAAAGUUAAAAGUCUGAUAUGUUUUUUAGAUAUUCCCCCUAAAAACCCAAGUCUGGCUUCUUCGUUUUUUUCGUUUUUACUAUUCCUCGUCUUGUCUCACUGAGUUAUCAUGAGUUUUGAAUUGUAAAUUUACUAAAAAAAAAUAGUGUGCAAUUAUCAUAGCAUUUAAUUAGGUCUAUAGUAUUAUAUUCAUUUUUGUGCCUGUAGGUUAGGUAAUCUCUUUUUUAUUCCUAAGUUCCAGUCUAAGAUUAAAAGUGUAGGUAAAAAUUAAGUCAUACUUGCGUCAAUUUUCACAUACUUAAAGUAUUUAAGCUUCCAACAUGCCUCUUUAUCACGAUAAGGACCAUCUACCUUCGCUUGGAGAGUUUGCAUGUAUUAUCUCAUUUACAUUUUGAUGGUGAAAGGAAAAAACAGAUAUCUCGAUUGGAUUGUUUCACAAUUUUCCCUCGUCUUUUACUUACGCGUUAUUUGUUUCGAAAGAACAUGAACUCAACAUUCUGUAAACAAUUUUCAGAAAAUAUUUUAGAAAUGACACAUAACACGGUAAAAAAUGAAAUUGCAGAUUUAACAAUUUUGUCGGUGAAAUAGGUGUCCGACAUGUUUAAAUGUAGAUUCUGCAAUAAAAAAAUGCAAAUUUAAUCACCUCUUUGGUUAAAUUAGCUUUCCACUAUUGUAAACUGUACAUGUAGAACUUGUCGGAUAUAUUUUUUAGCAAAUUAAUUGUUAAAUCAGCAAUUCAUUUUUUUCCGUGCAUAAUAACCUCAUAGAAAUGUUUUUGUCAUCGAUUAUCUGUUAUCCCAUAGGAAAGAAAAACACCGCUGGAAAUUUCAAAUUUUGCAAAUUGAGAUAUUUGUUUUUCCACUUUCAUUGCACGCUCAUUGCAACAACAUAAUUUUUAAAAAUUGCAUGAAACUACCUCGACAGAAAAAUUAAGUCACUGUGCACCAGUUAAGAGGAGUCUGUUCUAUAGUCAUAUAGGGAAUAUUUAUGCUAAAAGGAACUUUGUCUCACGCAAACGCCGUACACAUAGUUCCUUUUUGUAUAGGUUUUUGUUUUGUAUCCAUAGGUAUUAACCAUUAAGUGUGAUUCAAGUUAUAGUUUUAACGUGCCUCCGCACGUUACGAUUUUUUAGCACUCGCCAAAUCUUGUGCACUUAAUUUAUGCGAUAUAAUCCUAAUUUAUUAUUUACAAAAUCUCCUUUCAAAAAGUGACGAUUUUAUAGUAUUAGCGACGUGUUUGUAACUUCUCCUCCUCCUCCUCCUCUGCUGCUUGCUUUUUCACUUUUUUACUCUCCUGACUCGAACUCUAUUUCAAAGUCUUAUUAUUGUUAUCACAAGCAACAUUUUUCAAUAAAUUUAUAGCCAGUAAAUACAAAA